Molecule: long non-coding RNA, 1266 nt
Filed under: Lathyrus oleraceus (garden pea)
Lineage: Eukaryota; Viridiplantae; Streptophyta; Magnoliopsida; Fabales; Fabaceae
Description: Pisum sativum (pea) long non-coding RNA (PSAT_LNC039317)
Source: RNAcentral
AAUAAUUAAUUGAACUAAUUAAGUAAAGAAAACUCAGAAUAACAAAAUAUUUUUCUUUCCCAUUAGGAAGUUGACACGCACCCCACUAUACAAUUCUUCUCUCAACAUUGCAAAUAAAAUAUCUCACUUCCUCCAUAGAGGAAAUGACAUGCGUCUAAAAAAAGGGCGGGAAAUCACCUUCCAUCUUCGGCCAGCUAGCAGUGAGGGGAGGGAUUUUCUUUUGGUCCAUCACAUGAGGAGGGUCAAAAGGGAUCUAGAAAAACAAAAAAAAGAAAAAGAAACGAGAGAGGAGAGAGGAGAUUCCUUUUCUUCUUCAACGUCCUCGAAACGCCUCUUCUUCGUUAUUCUCCACCCUUAAUAUUACACACGCCUUCGUCUCCAUUAUCAACCGUAAACUCUUACCUUCCUCCGCCUCCACAAGCACCACAAACUCGUCAUUGUUCCGCUGCGCCUAGCUCCUUCAAUUACUCUACCUAAUAAAACCAUUUUUCUCACAUUUCUAUAAACUCCUCCCUCAUCUCCAAACUCCAUCUUCAUAAGAAAACCAAUUCUUCUCAUAUACCAUACUACACACAUUUACUCCAUCUCACUAUACAUUUUUUUCCUCAUUCUCACUUACUGAUAUAAGCCUUUACCUACCUUCUUUAACCUUAAAUCAACACCAACCAUGAACUAUCACCUUCACAUAAAACACCUCCUUCAUAAACUCCACUAAAUAACACUCUUCAUUAACACCAAAAUAAACAAAGAAUAAUACACAACACAACAACCUCUCAAACCACAACAUAAAUAAAAAAUCAUAAAAAAUAGAGAAAACAAAAUCAAAAGCAAGAAGAAGAAGAAAGUGGAAUCAAGAAGCCAAGCUCGUCGGAUGCAUUCGAACGUCGUCAGAACCACCCCUGCACCACCAUCGAAACGAAUCUGGCGACCUAAGACUCCACCACCGCUUCAUGCCGCCGUUUUAUCAUUCUUUGUCAAUCCGACGCCACACCAUUAUUAGUUGUUUCAAGUAGCUUUAUUUUUAUUUUCAUUUGUUUUGAUUUCACUUUGUUUUAUUGAUUUUUGUUGGUUUUUUUGAAAGAAAUGAAAGAAAAUGAUAUGGGAAAAGAACUGAACGUGGAAAUAGAGAAAGUGUUGGCUUUGUGGUUUUAAAAUUAAAAAUUAAAAAAAAAGUCUAUUAAUAGUUGAAAAGUCAAACUGAUAAUUCAAUAUUAUUAAUAUUAUUAAUUAGUACUCAUAUUAUUAAGAGUGUUAGUUUUAUGAAAA